CCCCAGCUGAAGAGUCCCAAACAGGACGAUAUAGGCAUCGUGGAU
This 45-nucleotide non-coding RNA is filed under the name Trichobilharzia regenti. The record is from RNAcentral. Lineage: Eukaryota; Metazoa; Platyhelminthes; Trematoda; Strigeidida; Schistosomatidae.